This 238-nucleotide long non-coding RNA is filed under the name Lathyrus oleraceus (garden pea). Its description in RNAcentral is "Pisum sativum (pea) long non-coding RNA (PSAT_LNC007442)". The record is from RNAcentral. Lineage: Eukaryota; Viridiplantae; Streptophyta; Magnoliopsida; Fabales; Fabaceae.
UUUUUAGGAUUUUUGUUGUUAUUAUGUACAUUAAUGGUCAAAGACCACACAAACAAACAAAGUAUACACAAACAAAAUAUAUCACACAAUAUGGUCCAAGUGGACAAAGUGAAAAUUGCAUUAACAUAAACAAAGUAUACACAAACAAAAUAUAUCACACAAUAUGGUCCAAGUGGACAAAGUGAAAAUUGCAUUAACAUAAACAAUUAGAAUGAUAUGAAUAAUGGCAAAUGUAUAA